GGGAAUAUUGGACAAUGGGCGCAAGCCUGAUCCAGCAAUGCCGCGUGUGUGAAGAAGGUCUUCGGAUUGUAAAGCACUUUCGGCGGGGACGAUGAUGACGGUACCCGCAGAAGAAGCCCCGGCUAACUUCGUGCCAGCAGCCGCGGUAAUACGAAGGGGGCUAGCGUUGCUCGGAAUUACUGGGCGUAAAGGGCGCGUAGGCGGCGGUAGUAGUCAGGCGUGAAAUUCCUGGGCUUAACCUGGGGGCUGCGCUUGAUACGCUAUUGCUAGAGGAUGGAAGAGGCUCGUGGAAUUCCCAGUGUAGAGGUGAAAUUCGUAGAUAUUGGGAAGAACACCGGUGGCGAAGGCGGCGAGCUGGUCCAUUACUGACGCUGAGGCGCGACAGCGUGGGGAGCAAACAGGAUUAGAUACCCUGGUAGUCCACGCCGUAAACGAUGUGCGCUGGAUGUUGGGGCUCUUAUAGCUUCAGUGUCGUAGCUAACGCGGUAAGCGCACCGCCUGGGGAGUACGGCCGCAAGGUUG
RNAcentral lists this ribosomal RNA (522 nucleotides) under alpha proteobacterium K19. RNAcentral describes it as "bacterial SSU rRNA". It matches the Rfam family "Bacterial small subunit ribosomal RNA", at positions 357 to 896 of the family's 1533-position model. Lineage: Bacteria; Pseudomonadati; Pseudomonadota; Alphaproteobacteria. The record is from RNAcentral.